RNAcentral lists this small RNA (566 nucleotides) under Pan troglodytes (chimpanzee). Its description in RNAcentral is "retained intron". The record is from RNAcentral. Lineage: Eukaryota; Metazoa; Chordata; Mammalia; Primates; Hominidae.
GCACAAAGUGACUCAUCCAUGUCACUUUCCUCUACACCGACAGGCACCUCAAGCGGGGGCUCGGGAAAAGGUUGCCCGAUCCUGGUACUGUAACCGUGGCCUAGUCUCUCUUUCGGCCAAGAUCGACCGCAAGGGCUACACCCCAGGAGAGGUCAUCCCUGUCUUUGCCGAGAUCGACAACGGCUCCACACGUCCUGUGCUGCCUCGGGCAGCCGUGGUGCAGACACAGACGUUCAUGGCCCGAGGCGCCCGAAAGCAGAAACGGGCAGUGGUGGCCAGCCUCGCGGGCGAGCCGGUGGGCCCUGGGCAGCGGGCGCUGUGGCAGGGCCGGGCACUGCGGAUCCCCCCAGUGGGUCCUUCCAUCCUGCACUGCCGCGUUCUACACGUGGACUACGCACUCAAGGUCUGUGUGGAUAUCCCAGGAACGUCCAAGCUGCUGCUGGAGCUGCCACUGGUGAUCGGCACCAUUCCCUUGCACCCUUUUGGCAGCCGUUCCUCCAGCGUGGGCAGCCACGCCAGCUUCCUGCUGGACUGGAGGCUGGGGGCCUUGCCGGAGCGGCCUGAGG